RNAcentral lists this ribosomal RNA (583 nucleotides) under bacterium. RNAcentral's name for it is "bacterial SSU rRNA". It matches the Rfam family "Bacterial small subunit ribosomal RNA", at positions 56 to 622 of the family's 1533-position model. The record is from RNAcentral.
UGCAGUCGAGCGAACAGAUGAAGUGCUUGCACUUCUGACGUUAGCGGCGAACGGGUGAGUAACACGUAAGGAAUCUACCUAUAAGCGGGGGAUAACAUUCGGAAACGGGUGCUAAUACCGCAUAAUAUCUUCUUCCGCAUGGAAGAAGAUUGAAAGACGGCUCUGCUGUCACUUAUAGAUGACCUUGCGGUGCAUUAGUUAGUUGGUGGGGUAACGGCCUACCAAGACGAUGAUGCAUAGCCGACCUGAGAGGGUGAUCGGCCACAUUGGGACUGAGACACGGCCCAAACUCCUACGGGAGGCAGCAGUAGGGAAUCUUCCGCAAUGGGCGAAAGCCUGACGGAGCAAUGCCGCGUGAGUGAAGAAGGCCUUCGGGUCGUAAAACUCUGUUAUAAGAGAAGAACAAAUUGUAGAGUAACUGCUACAGUCUUGACGGUAUCUUAUCAGAAAGCCACGGCUAACUACGUGCCAGCAGCCGCGGUAAUACGUAGGUGGCAAGCGUUGUCCGGAUUUAUUGGGCGUAAAGGGAGCGCAGGUGGUUUCUUAAGUCUGAUGUGAAAGCCCACGGCUUAACCGUGGAGGG